This is a long non-coding RNA of Vanessa tameamea, 637 nucleotides long. RefSeq lists it as uncharacterized. Lineage: Eukaryota; Metazoa; Arthropoda; Insecta; Lepidoptera; Nymphalidae. The transcript is spliced from 3 exons. The record is from RefSeq and is a predicted model, not a curated record.
GCGGGUGAUGCUCGCGCCGCGUAGCGACUGGCGCCUUCUCGUGACGACAAUCGGCGCGCGAACACGUAUCAUCUUUUUUUUUUCAACUGGAAACUAUACGACUCCAGCGGUCCAACCCGACUUUAAUACCAAUAGGAAUUUACUCAAUUUUUUUUUAAAUAAUUCUUAUAAGAGUUACGACUGAAGAUUAGUGUAGCUGCGAAUGUGAAUAUUACAAAAUCCGGCGAAAUUUUUUUAUGGCAAUAAAAUUCGUCGUUGACAUCAAAUUUUAUAUUGAUAUCAAAUAAUUUGGAUUUUAUUUUAAAAACUACAAAAUAAAAACUGUGAAAAAUUAAAUUAACAUGAAGUGACGAUUAGUGCUACAGUGUACGGAAAAUUAUUAAAAUAAAAAUGGCGCUAAAAUAGUGCUAAGGAAAAAUACAAAUUUGAAGAAUGAAAUAGAAAAUAGCAACAGCAAGACUAAAAACGUGAUAGUGUGUGCUAUUGGAUAUUCCCGCAUAGAUAAAGGAUAAAUGCGGAACGGUCGUUGACACGAGAUGUCGGUGAGGUAUGUUUAUUAUAAAUCAUUCGGUAAAUUAAUUAACAUACUUUAGUGAAUAUAAAUUGAACUGAGACAGCCCAGUAGUUAGAACACGUG